AAGCAGCUCAAGUUAAAUUUUAAAUAAAUAAUAAGAGCGUACCUUUUGCAUAAUGGGUCAGCAAGUUAAUUUUAGAUGCAAGUAACAUCUCUUUUCUAAAAAUUAUACAUACUAAAUAUGUAAUAUUAUACAAAAAAUGAUUGCUAGUUACAUGUAAUUAAGAUAAUAUAUAUUUAGUAUUAAAUGUAUAAUUAUAUUAUUUAAAUUAAUGUAAAUUGAUUAUUUAAUAUUAUUAGAAAAAUUAGGAGAUAGAUACGCAGAUAAACCAAUUAUGAAAAAAUGAAUUAGUAUCUAGAAUUAGACCCGAAGGCUAGUGAUCUUACCAUGGUCAGGGUUAUAAAAGCCCGAACGGGUUAUCGUUGUAAAGAUAUCCGAUGAACUGUGGUAAGUUAGUGAAAGACAAAACUGACUAGUAUAGCUGGUUUUCCGCGAAACCUAUGUAAGUAGGUAAUUUAAUUAACAUCUUAGCAGGUACAGAACUGUGAUCUCGGACAAUAUCUAAGAUAUUUGUCAACAUCGGGGGGUUGUAGUGACUUUACCGGAGAGUAUUUGCACUCGGAAGGGCAAAGAUGAAUGUUAAAUAAUCGGACAUAGUGCGAUAAGGUUGUAUGUCUAAAGGGAAACAGCCCAGAACAAGAGUUAAGGUUCCAAAAUUAUUGUUAAGUGAAAUUAAGGAUGUUUUUUUUUAAAACAAUCAGGAAAUAGGCUUAGAAGCGGCCAUUUUUUGAAGACCUCGUAACAGAGCACUGAUUAAUAAAUUAGGAAAAAACGCCGAAAAUUUAACGGAUCUAAAUAAUAUACCGAAACCUUGUACACAAAGAAAUAUUAAAGCUUUAGUAGGAGCUUAUUGUUAUUAAUGAGUAAUUGUGGGGUAGCGGAACAUUGGAUUAAACAAAAUAUUAAUAUUUUUCUUAAAAUAUUAAAAAAAUCUCGAAUUAAUGCACAUUAAUGAACACAAUUGCAAUAGAUUGUGUUUUUAUCUACUAUAUGAGAAUCUGUUAAAUCCAAGAGAGAAUGCUGACAUGAGUAACGAAAAAGGCUUUUAGCCUCGCCUGAAGCUUAUGGUUUCAUCUAAAAUCGGUGUCUAAAAAAAUUAAUCAAAAGAUAAUUUUGAUGACGUUUUAUGUUUUUUUAUAUAAUAAUACCAAAACCUUUAACAAGUAAUAAAGGUUCUGGAAAAGUUUAUUCAUUAUUUGAAAUGAAAAGAAUUUAAUACUUAUACUUAUUGGUAUAAAAUUGUAUAUUAUUUUUAUCAUAGUACAUACUUUAUUAUGAUAUUGUGAUUUUACAAUUUUUAGUUUAAUGAGUAUUAUAAUAAAUGGAAUUUCAAAUAAUAGUCUUAAAUCUAUUCUUAUAAUAUUAGAGAUAAUAAUUAUUAAUAUUAUAAUAACCAUUAUAUUAUUCUUAAUUAAUAACCUUUAUAUUAUUAAUAGUAAUUACCACCAUCUAUUAAUAAUUAAUAACCUUUAUAUUAUUUAUUUUUUUAAUAACCUUUAUAUUAUUAAAUAGUAUUUUUAUAUUAAACGUUAUUAUUAAUAAUACUUAAAUUAAUAGAUUAAAGAUAACUUUAUACUGGUAAAAAAAAAGAAAAGUAAAAAAAUUACAAACUAUAUAACCGUACCUAGAAACUAACUCAAGUAAGCAAGUAGAGAAUACAAAGGCGUUUGAGAGAACAAUCAUUAAGGAACUCGGCAAAUUGACUCUGUACCUUCGGAAUAAGGAGGACCAUUAUUAUUAAAUUUAACAUAUAGUAAAGUAUGAAAUUAUAUAUGAAAAAAUUAAAUUAAUAAUAAGAGGAAUCAUGAAAUAAUGUUGUACGACUGUUUAAUAAAAACACAGCACUCUGCAAAGAUAAAAAAUCAAAGUAUUGAGUGUGAUGUCUGCCCAAUGUCGGCUGGGUAACGGAUCUACCUUGAUUAUUAACUGAGGUUUUGAAGGACACCCCGAUUAAUGGCGGCCUUACCUAUGAGGGUCCUAAGGUAGCGAAAUACCUUGGCCGUUAAAUGCGGUCCUGCAUGAAUGACUUAACGAUGCAACAGCUGUCUCGAUGAUUGUCUCAGUGAAAUUG
This is a ribosomal RNA of Penicillium griseofulvum, 2068 nucleotides long. It matches the Rfam family "Bacterial large subunit ribosomal RNA", at positions 568 to 2044 of the family's 2925-position model. NCBI's taxonomy places the organism in Eukaryota, Fungi, Ascomycota, Eurotiomycetes, Eurotiales, Aspergillaceae. The record is from Rfam.